AUGAAUGACAUUCCUCCGACAGCCGCAAAUAUG
This 33-nucleotide small RNA is filed under the name Arabidopsis thaliana (thale cress). RNAcentral describes it as "ATSL132180". Lineage: Eukaryota; Viridiplantae; Streptophyta; Magnoliopsida; Brassicales; Brassicaceae. The record is from RNAcentral.